RNAcentral lists this transfer RNA (73 nucleotides) under Camelus bactrianus (Bactrian camel). It matches the Rfam family "tRNA". From Rfam's summary of the family: Transfer RNA (tRNA) molecules are approximately 80 nucleotides in length. Their secondary structure includes four short double-helical elements and three loops (D, anti-codon, and T loops). RNAcentral also lists the same sequence under 2 other names. The record is from Rfam by way of RNAcentral. Lineage: Eukaryota; Metazoa; Chordata; Mammalia; Artiodactyla; Camelidae.
GAGGGUAUAGCUCAAGUGGUAGAGCGCAUGCUUAGCAUGCAGAAGGUACUGGGUUCAAUCCCCAGUACCUCCU